This 596-nucleotide ribosomal RNA is filed under the name Vishniacozyma carnescens. RNAcentral's name for it is "partial large subunit ribosomal RNA". It matches the Rfam family "Eukaryotic large subunit ribosomal RNA", at positions 62 to 648 of the family's 3401-position model. Lineage: Eukaryota; Fungi; Basidiomycota; Tremellomycetes; Tremellales; Bulleribasidiaceae. The record is from RNAcentral.
AAACUAACUAGGAUUCCCUUAGUAACGGCGAGUGAACCGGGAUGAGCUCAAAUUUGAAAUCUGGCGUCUUUCAGGCGUCCGAGUUGUAAUCUAUAGAGGCGUUUUCCGCGCCGGACCGCGUCCAAGUCUCUUGGAAUAGAGUAUCAAAGAGGGUGACAAUCCCGUACUUGACGCGACAACCGGUGCUCUGUGAUACGUUCUCAAUGAGUCGAGUUGUUUGGGAAUGCAGCUCUAAAUGGGUGGUAAAUUCCAUCUAAGGCUAAAUAUUGGCGAGAGACCGAUAGCGAACAAGUACCGUGAGGGAAAGAUGAAAAGCACUUUGGAAAGAGAGUUAAACAGCACGUGAAAUUGUUAAAAGGGAAACGAUUGAAGUCAGUCGUGUGGGAAGUAUUCAGCCGUCUUUGGCGGUGUAUUUGCUUCUCACGGGUCAACAUCAGUUUGAUCCGGUAGAAAAAGGCGGGAAGAAGGUGGCACCCUCGGGUGUGUUAUAGCUUCCUGUCAUAUGUGCCGGACCAGACUGAGGAACGCAGCUUGCAGCAAUGCCGGGGUUCGCCCACGUACAAGCUUAGGAUGUUGACAUAAUGGCUUUAAACGAC